Molecule: long non-coding RNA, 875 nt
Organism: Mus musculus (house mouse)
Lineage: Eukaryota; Metazoa; Chordata; Mammalia; Rodentia; Muridae
Product: predicted gene, 52025
Exons: 3
Source: RefSeq, a predicted model, not a curated record
GAACAACAGGAGCUCUCAAGCCCUGCUAGCAGCUCUGCCCCCUCCAGUCAGUGCUUAGCAGUCAGUGCUAUUCCUGUCAGAGCCCCUCCUGCAGGCACAGGAGGUCCCUGACAUCACAGACCCACACAGUCACAGACACCCAGCCAGCUGCUUGAGGAUGGCAAAACUUAAAUUGGACACAUUCAUGAAACACCAUGACAUGAACAUUGUUUUCCCAUUUCCACCACUGCUUGAAGAACAUCCUUCCAAGAAUAGAACAGCGAGCCAACUCCGGGUUUACUUUUCACGAUUCAGUGAGCUACUUCAGAACAUGUAAAGUUCAGAUCAAAUUGAAAUGGAAUCCUCAUGCCUCCGUGGACACAGCAAAACAACCUCCAGUGUAUAAAGUGUUCUCCUUCAAUCUUUUAAAAAGGAAAAAAGAAAAAGAAAAGAACCCACACACGCCACAUGCAUGCUCAACUCUGUUCACCUCCUUGUAUCCCUUUGAAAGACAGAGAUGAGGCAGAAAGACGGACUCACUGUGAGGAACUCUGUGAGUUCUCGCUGUAACAGCAUCUUCAGUUCCCCCUUGUUGAGCUUGAACCUGUCGCCCUCCUUGCAAGAGUACCGGUGGAAGAUGCGAAUCAUGGUGUCCAUAGCCAUCUCCAGCUGGGUGGGCAUGCUGACGGUGGAGUGGAUCACUCCCGGAGCAGGACGCCAAACCAGGGGGAAGGCACUCGCUCAAAGAAAGCAGAUGGGGACCCGUCAGCUCUUCCGUGAAAACAGAAUACACCGGCGACAGUUCUUAAACUCUAAUAACGCUCCAUUAAAGACGGUGUUCUGCUUAUUCUAGCGCAAGCUACGAGACCAUCGCAGGUGUUCUUACUCCACCCCAA